ACAAGGUCUCCGUUGGUGAACCAGCGGAGGGAUCAUUACCGAGUUUACAACUCCCAAACCCCUGUGAACAUACCUAUACGUUGCCUCGGCGGAUCAGCCCGCGCCCCGUAAAAAGGGACGGCCCGCCCGAGGACCCCUAAACUCUGUUUUUAGUGGAACUUCUGAGUAAAACAAACAAAUAAAUCAAAACUUUCAACAACGGAUCUCUUGGUUCUGGCAUCGAUGAAGAACGCAGCAAAAUGCGAUAAGUAAUGUGAAUUGCAGAAUUCAGUGAAUCAUCGAAUCUUUGAACGCACAUUGCGCCCGCCAGUAUUCUGGCGGGCAUGCCUGUUCGAGCGUCAUUUCAACCCUCAAGCUCAGCUUGGUGUUGGGACUCGCGGUAACCCGCGUUCCCCAAAUCGAUUGGCGGUCACGUCGAGCUUCCAUAGCGUAGUAAUCAUACACCUCGUUACUGGUAAUCGUCGCGGCCACGCCGUAAAACCCCAACUUCUGAAUGUUGACCUCGGAUCAGGUAGGAAUACCCGCUGAACUUAAGCAUAUCAAU
RNAcentral lists this ribosomal RNA (544 nucleotides) under Fusarium equiseti. RNAcentral's name for it is "eukaryotic LSU rRNA". The stretch from base 188 to 341 matches the Rfam family "5.8S ribosomal RNA". The record is from RNAcentral. Lineage: Eukaryota; Fungi; Ascomycota; Sordariomycetes; Hypocreales; Nectriaceae.